UGAAUCUCCAUAACGACGCAUGGAGGACGACAAGAUGAAACAUGGUGAAAACGACAGAAAGAAGUGAACUUUCCUGUGAGUUAUGAGUGAAUGGACGUCUGCCACACUGUGGGAACGAUGGAAGAUUCUUCACGAAAUGCAGCUUCAAUGGAGGACAUCUGGGAAGAAU
Long non-coding RNA from Notothenia coriiceps (black rockcod), 169 nucleotides. RefSeq lists it as uncharacterized. The record is from RefSeq and is a predicted model, not a curated record. NCBI's taxonomy places the organism in Eukaryota, Metazoa, Chordata, Actinopteri, Perciformes, Nototheniidae. The transcript is spliced from 3 exons.